GUGCUUGGGCGAGAGUAGUACUAGGAUGGGUGACCUCCUGGGAAGUCCUCGUGUUGUCACCC
Molecule: non-coding RNA, 62 nt
Organism: Arabis alpina (gray rockcress)
Lineage: Eukaryota; Viridiplantae; Streptophyta; Magnoliopsida; Brassicales; Brassicaceae
Source: Rfam